Molecule: ribosomal RNA, 253 nt
Filed under: uncultured bacterium
Lineage: Bacteria
Description: partial 16S ribosomal RNA
Rfam family: Bacterial small subunit ribosomal RNA
Source: RNAcentral
AACGUAGGUUCCGAGCGUUAUCCGGAUUUACUGGGCGUAAAGCGCGUUCAGGCGGUUUGGCAAGUCGGGCAUGAAAUCCUUCGGCUCAACCGGGGGAGGUUGUCCGAUACUGCUGAACUGGAGGGCAGUAGAGGGUGGUGGAAUUCCGGGUGUAGUGGUGAAAUGCGUAGAGAUCCGGAGGAACACCAGUGGCGAAAGCGGCCCCCUGGACUGCAACUGACGCUGAAACGCGAAAGCUAGGGGAGCGAACGGG